This is a long non-coding RNA of Cyprinus carpio carpio, 781 nucleotides long. NCBI's taxonomy places the organism in Eukaryota, Metazoa, Chordata, Actinopteri, Cypriniformes, Cyprinidae. The record is from Ensembl.
CUCUCAUCUGCUGCUCAGGUAACACACCUUCACUCUCACUGUGUGUCUGAGCAUCUCCGCAUGUGCUGCUUUUUGACUGUUUGAGUGUUUAACCUCAUGUGAAUGAAUGACCCACGAUGCCUCUGGCCGGAGACGAGCUGGUCUGCCCCAAGUUCCAGCCCAACAUCUUCGACUCCACCCGCUGCCACGACUGCUUGCGCCAGAAACAGCUGCACCACACCUGUGCCGAGCGCGCUCCCGAGCAGAGCGUCUCCGUGGCCGUGCGCAGCGACGACAAGGACACCAGCGCCAAGGAUGACUCAGAUGUGCUGUCAGUGGUGAGUAGCUACUGUGAUGUCAGCAGAGGGGGGCAGGGCUUUGAGGACGGCUCCAUCUGCAUCUUGAGUCCGGACUGUGACCUCUACCUGUGUGACGGAGACGACGACCAAAGCUCGGACAGUCAGGGUGACGAUUCCAUCUACAGUAGCUCUACUGGAACAGAGGAAUACUCCAGCCUCCUUCAUCAUCCUUCAUCUUGCCAUAGAAUGACCCGCUUGGAUCAGCCACCAUACCGGGCGAGCCCCCGAGGAUGGACGGAGAUGUCCCAGAGUCGCCGUGAUGGUCUUGGGCAGUUCGGUGUUUCUCACGGCAGCCAGAAGGAACGGAGGGAACGGGAGAGUGGAUAUUUCUCUCUGGGAAGGGCUGCAGGCAGCAGAGCUUUACUUGAUCAAAGCCCUCCCUAUAGGCAUUCAGAGAGAGGACAUCCCCUGCCAAGCAACAAAAGCCCUGAACCCAAAGCCAC